GACGAACGCUGGCGGCGUGCCUAAUACAUGCAAGUAGAACGCACAGUUUAUACCGUAGCUUGCUACACCAUAGACUGUGAGUUGCGAACGGGUGAGUAACGCGUAGGUAACCUGCCUGGUAGCGGGGGAUAACUAUUGGAAACGAUAGCUAAUACCGCAUAAUAUUGAUUAUUUCAUGAUAAUUAAUUGAAAGGUGCAAUUGCACCACUACCAGAUGGACCUGCGUUGUAUUAGCUAGUAGGUGAGGUAACGGCUCACCUAGGCGACGAUACAUAGCCGAACUGCGAGGGUGAUCGGCCACACUGGGACAGAGACACGGCACAGACUCCUACGAGAGGCAGCAGUAGGGAAUUUUCGGCGAUGGACGCAAGGCUGACCGAGAAACGCAGCGUGAGUGAAGAAGGUUUUCGGAUCGUAAAGCUCUGUUGUAAGAGAAGAACGGGUGUGAGAGUGGAAAGUUCACACUGUGACGGUAUCUUACCAGAAAGGGACGGCUAACUACGUG
RNAcentral lists this ribosomal RNA (505 nucleotides) under uncultured bacterium. RNAcentral describes it as "partial 16S ribosomal RNA". It matches the Rfam family "Bacterial small subunit ribosomal RNA", at positions 28 to 507 of the family's 1533-position model. The record is from RNAcentral.